UGGGGAGGCGGCGAGUUAGUAGCAGUAGGUGGCAAAGUGGCUUUGUUACCUAUUCCAUCAGGAACCGCAGAUUUUUUAGUCCAUCACAUUCAUGCAUUUACCAUACAUCUGACUGUAUUAAUACUUUUGAAAGGUGUUUUAUUUGCUCGGAGUUCCCGUUUGAUACCCCAUAAAGAAAAUCUAGGUUUUCGCUUUCCUUGCGAUGGCCCUGGCCGACUGGGAACAUGUCAAUUAUCUUCCUGGGAUCAUGUUUUCUUAGGUUUAUUCUAG
Molecule: ribosomal RNA, 270 nt
Filed under: Triticum aestivum (bread wheat)
Lineage: Eukaryota; Viridiplantae; Streptophyta; Magnoliopsida; Poales; Poaceae
Description: partial small subunit ribosomal RNA
Source: RNAcentral